This 362-nucleotide transfer-messenger RNA is filed under the name uncultured Gellertiella sp. RNAcentral describes it as "Alphaproteobacteria transfer-messenger RNA". It matches the Rfam family "Alphaproteobacteria transfer-messenger RNA". Rfam says of the family: Bacterial tmRNA, also known as 10Sa RNA or SsrA, is named for its dual tRNA and mRNA-like properties. Lineage: Bacteria; Pseudomonadati; Pseudomonadota; Alphaproteobacteria; Hyphomicrobiales; Rhizobiaceae. The record is from RNAcentral.
CUUUUCAUGCCCCCUUGAAAUGCCUAUAUGAACCUUGCCGACCUUCGGGACGGCUAUGGCAAUAAACGGACGGUGUAAUAAGCCUAUUGGACCCGGGGGCGGUACCCGGCGCCUCCACCAGGAACGGCUCACGCAAAGAGCCGCUGCUGAUGGGGGCGAAACAGGAUCGACAAGGGUGUAAAGAUCGUACUUUUGCUCGGCAUGAUACCACCGUUAUCGGGUCAAAAAGUGUAGUUGCAAACGACAACAACGCUAAGGGUUAUGCUCUCGCUGCCUAAUGGCGGUGCGGGAAACCCGACCUAAGUCCUUCUGGUUAGCACCUUGAGGCGGGGUCCGGAGGUACCUGGCAACAGAAACCUCCA